GGUUAAGCGAACAAGCGUACACGGUGGAUGCCCUGGCAGUCAGAGGCGAUGAAGGACGUGCUAAUCUGCGAAAAGCGCCGGUAAGGUGAUAUGAACCGUUAUAACCGGCGAUGUCCGAAUGGGGAAACCCGGUGCACUUCGGUGCAUCAUCGUUAGCUGAAUACAUAGGCUAACGAGGCGAACCGGGGGAACUGAAACAUCUAAGUACCCCGAGGAAAAGAAAUCAACCGAGAUUCCCCCAGUAGCGGCGAGCGAACGGGGAACAGCCCAGAGCCUGAAUCAGCUUGUGUGUCAGUGGAACGGUCUGGAAAGGCCGGCGAUACAGGGUGACAGCCCCGUACACGAAGGCACACAGGCUGUGAGCUCGAUGAGUAGGGCGGGACACGUGAUAUCCUGUCUGAAGAUGGGGGGACCAUCCUCCAAGGCUAAAUACUCCUGACUGACCGAUAGUGAACCAGUACCGUGAGGGAAAGGCGAAAAGAACCCCGGCGAGGGGAGUGAAACAGAACCUGAAACCGUGUACGUACAAGCAGUGGGAGCCUUCGUAAGAGGGUGACUGCGUACCUUUUGUAUAAUGGGUCAGCGACUUAUAUUCUGUAGCAAGGUUAACCGUAUAGGGGAGCCGAAGGGAAACCGAGUCUUAACCGGGCGUUAAGUUGCAGGGUAUAGACCCGAAACCCGGUGAUCUAGCCAUGGGCAGGUUGAAGGUUGGGUAACACUAACUGGAGGACCGAACCGACUAAUGUUGAAAAAUUAGCGGAUGACCUGUGGCUGGGGGUGAAAGGCCAAUCAAACCGGGAGAUAGCUGGUUCUCCCCGAAAGCUAUUUAGGUAGCGCCUCGUGAACUCAUCUCCGGGGGUAGAGCACUGUUUCGGCUAGGGGGCCAUCCCGGCUUACCAACCCGAUGCAAACUGCGAAUACCGGAGAAUGUUAUCACGGGAGACACACGGCGGGUGCUAACGUCCGUCGUGAAGAGGGAAACAACCCAGACCGCCAGCUAAGGUCCCAAAGUCAUGGUUAAGUGGGAAACGAUGUGGGAAGGCCCAGACAGCCAGGAUGUUGGCUUAGAAGCAGCCAUCAUUUAAAGAAAGCGUAAUAGCUCACUGGUCGAGUCGGCCUGCGCGGAAGAUGUAACGGGGCUAAACCAUGCACCGAAGCUGCGGCAGCGACGCUUAUGCGUUGUUGGGUAGGGGAGCGUUCUGUAAGCCUGCGAAGGUGUGCUGUGAGGCAUGCUGGAGGUAUCAGAAGUGCGAAUGCUGACAUAAGUAACGAUAAAGCGGGUGAAAAGCCCGCUCGCCGGAAGACCAAGGGUUCCUGUCCAACGUUAAUCGGGGCAGGGUGAGUCGACCCCUAAGGCGAGGCCGAAAGGCGUAGUCGAUGGGAAACAGGUUAAUAUUCCUGUACUUGGUGUUACUGCGAAGGGGGGACGGAGAAGGCUAUGUC
Molecule: ribosomal RNA, 1443 nt
Filed under: Cronobacter sakazakii
Lineage: Bacteria; Pseudomonadati; Pseudomonadota; Gammaproteobacteria; Enterobacterales; Enterobacteriaceae
Description: partial 23S ribosomal RNA
Rfam family: Bacterial large subunit ribosomal RNA
Source: RNAcentral